RNAcentral lists this ribosomal RNA (450 nucleotides) under uncultured bacterium. Its description in RNAcentral is "partial 16S ribosomal RNA". It matches the Rfam family "Bacterial small subunit ribosomal RNA", at positions 338 to 795 of the family's 1533-position model. The record is from RNAcentral.
CCUACGGGGGGCUGCAGUGGGGAAUUUUGGACAAUGGGCGCAAGCCUGAUCCAGCCAUUCCGCGUGAGUGAAGAAGGCCUUCGGGUUGUAAAGCUCUUUCGCAAGGGAAGAAAACUUAUCCUCUAACAUAGGAUGAGGUUGACGGUACCUUGAUAAGAAGCACCGGCUAACUACGUGCCAGCAGCCGCGGUAAUACGUAGGGUGCGAGCGGGGCUCGGAAUUAGCGGGGGUAAAUUUUGAGGAGAGUGGUGAAAUCCCCGAGCUCAACUUGGGAACUGCGUUUGAAACUACAAGACUAGAAUAGGUCAGAGGGGGGUAGAAUUCCACGUGUAGCAGUGAAAUGCGUAGAGAUGUGGAGGAAUAUCAAUGGCGAAGGCAGCCCCCUGGGAUCAUAUUGACGCUCAUGCACGAAAGCGUGGGGAGCAAACCGGAUUAGAUACCCCAGUAGUC